UGCUGGAGGUAUCAGAAGUGCGAAUGCUGACAUAAGUAACGAUAAAGCGGGUGAAAAGCCCGCUCGCCGGAAGACCAAGGGUUCCUGUCCAACGUUAAUCGGGGCAGGGUGAGUCGACCCCUAAGGCGAGGCCGAAAGGCGUAGUCGAUGGGAAACGGGUUAAUAUUCCCGUACUUGGUGUUACUGCGAAGGGGGGACGGAGAAGGCUAUGUUGGCCGGGCGACGGUUGUCCCGGUUUAAGCGUGUAGGUGUGUGUUCCAGGUAAAUCCGGUUCACUUUAACACUGAGGCGUGACGACGAGGCACUACGGUGCUGAAGCAACAAAUGCCCUGCUUCCAGGAAAAGCCUCUAAGCAUCAGGUAACAUCAAAUCGUACCCCAAACCGACACAGGUGGUCAGGUAGAGAAUACCAAGGCGCUUGAGAGAACUCGGGUGAAGGAACUAGGCAAAAUGGUGCCGUAACUUCGGGAGAAGGCACGCUGACACGUAGGUGAAGUGAUUUACUCACGGAGCUGAAGUCAGUCGAAGAUACCAGCUGGCUGCAACUGUUUAUUAAAAACACAGCACUGUGCAAACACGAAAGUGGACGUAUACGGUGUGACGCCUGCCCGGUGCCGGAAGGUUAAUUGAUGGGGUCAGCGCAAGCGAAGCUCCUGAUCGAAGCCCCGGUAAACGGCGGCCGUAACUAUAACGGUCCUAAGGUAGCGAAAUUCCUUGUCGGGUAAGUUCCGACCUGCACGAAUGGCGUAAUGAUGGCCAGGCUGUCUCCACCCGAGACUCAGUGAAAUUGAACUCGCUGUGAAGAUGCAGUGUACCCGCGGCAAGACGGAAAGACCCCGUGAACCUUUACUAUAGCUUGACACUGAACAUUGAGCCUUGAUGUGUAGGAUAGGUGGGAGGCUUUGAAGUGUGGACGCCAGUCUGCAUGGAGCCGACCUUGAAAUACCACCCUUUAAUGUUUGAUGUUCUAACGUGGACCCGUUACCCGGGUUGCGGACAGUGUCUGGUGGGUAGUUUGACUGGGGCGGUCUCCUCCUAAAGAGUAACGGAGGAGCACGAAGGUUGGCUAAUCCUGGUCGGACAUCAGGAGGUUAGUGCAAUGGCAUAAGCCAGCUUGACUGCGAGCGUGACGGCGCGAGCAGGUGCGAAAGCAGGUCAUAGUGAUCCGGUGGUUCUGAAUGGAAGGGCCAUCGCUCAACGGAUAAAAGGUACUCCGGGGAUAACAGGCUGAUACCGCCCAAGAGUUCAUAUCGACGGCGGUGUUUGGCACCUCGAUGUCGGCUCAUCACAUCCUGGGGCUGAAGUAGGUCCCAAGGGUAUGGCUGUUCGCCAUUUAAAGUGGUACGCGAGCUGGGUUUAGAACGUCGUGAGACAGUUCGGUCCCUAUCUGCCGUGGGCGCUGGAGAACUGAGGGGGGCUGCUCCUAGUACGAGAGGACCGGAGUGGACGCAUCACUGGUGUUCGGGUUGUCAUGCCAAUGGCACUGCCCGGUAGCUAAAUGCGGAAGAGAUAAGUGCUGAAAGCAUCUAAGCACGAAACUUGCCCCGAGAUGAGUUCU
RNAcentral lists this ribosomal RNA (1558 nucleotides) under Salmonella enterica. Its description in RNAcentral is "bacterial LSU rRNA". It matches the Rfam family "Bacterial large subunit ribosomal RNA", at positions 1271 to 2812 of the family's 2925-position model. Lineage: Bacteria; Pseudomonadati; Pseudomonadota; Gammaproteobacteria; Enterobacterales; Enterobacteriaceae. The record is from RNAcentral.